This 2901-nucleotide ribosomal RNA is filed under the name Escherichia coli 2720900. RNAcentral's name for it is "bacterial LSU rRNA". It matches the Rfam family "Bacterial large subunit ribosomal RNA". Lineage: Bacteria; Pseudomonadati; Pseudomonadota; Gammaproteobacteria; Enterobacterales; Enterobacteriaceae. The record is from RNAcentral.
UUAAGCGACUAAGCGUACACGGUGGAUGCCCUGGCAGUCAGAGGCGAUGAAGGACGUGCUAAUCUGCGAUAAGCGUCGGUAAGGUGAUAUGAACCGUUAUAACCGGCGAUUUCCGAAUGGGGAAACCCAGUGUGUUUCGACACACUAUCAUUAACUGAAUCCAUAGGUUAAUGAGGCGAACCGGGGGAACUGAAACAUCUAAGUACCCCGAUGAAAAGAAAUCAACCGAGAUUCCCCCAGUAGCGGCGAGCGAACGGGGAGCAGCCCAGAGCCUGAAUCAGUGUGUGUGUUAGUGGAAGCGUCUGGAAAGGCGCGCGAUACAGGGUGACAGCCCCGUACACAAAAAUGCACAUGCUGUGAGCUCGAUGAGUAGGGCGGGACACGUGGUAUCCUGUCUGAAUAUGGGGGGACCAUCCUCCAAGGCUAAAUACUCCUGACUGACCGAUAGUGAACCAGUACCGUGAGGGAAAGGCGAAAAGAACCCCGGCGAGGGGAGUGAAAAAGAACCUGAAACCGUGUACGUACAAGCAGUGGGAGCACGCUUAGGCGUGUGACUGCGUACCUUUUGUAUAAUGGGUCAGCGACUUAUAUUCUGUAGCAAGGUUAACCGAAUAGGGGAGCCGAAGGGAAACCGAGUCUUAACUGGGCGUUAAGUUGCAGGGUAUAGACCCGAAACCCGGUGAUCUAGCCAUGGGCAGGUUGAAGGUUGGGUAACACUAACUGGAGGACCGAACCGACUAAUGUUGAAAAAUUAGCGGAUGACUUGUGGCUGGGGGUGAAAGGCCAAUCAAACCGGGAGAUAGCUGGUUCUCCCCGAAAGCUAUUUAGGUAGCGCCUCGUGAAUUCAUCUCCGGGGGUAGAGCACUGUUUCGGCAAGGGGGUCAUCCCGACUUACCAACCCGAUGCAAACUGCGAAUACCGGAGAAUGUUAUCACGGGAGACACACGGCGGGUGCUAACGUCCGUCGUGAAGAGGGAAACAACCCAGACCGCCAGCUAAGGUCCCAAAGUCAUGGUUAAGUGGGAAACGAUGUGGGAAGGCCCAGACAGCCAGGAUGUUGGCUUAGAAGCAGCCAUCAUUUAAAGAAAGCGUAAUAGCUCACUGGUCGAGUCGGCCUGCGCGGAAGAUGUAACGGGGCUAAACCAUGCACCGAAGCUGCGGCAGCGACACUAUGUGUUGUUGGGUAGGGGAGCGUUCUGUAAGCCUGUGAAGGUGUACUGUGAGGUAUGCUGGAGGUAUCAGAAGUGCGAAUGCUGACAUAAGUAACGAUAAAGCGGGUGAAAAGCCCGCUCGCCGGAAGACCAAGGGUUCCUGUCCAACGUUAAUCGGGGCAGGGUGAGUCGACCCCUAAGGCGAGGCCGAAAGGCGUAGUCGAUGGGAAACAGGUUAAUAUUCCUGUACUUGGUGUUACUGCGAAGGGGGGACGGAGAAGGCUAUGUUGGCCGGGCGACGGUUGUCCCGGUUUAAGCGUGUAGGCUGGUUUUCCAGGCAAAUCCGGAAAAUCAAGGCUGAGGCGUGAUGACGAGGCACUACGGUGCUGAAGCAACAAAUGCCCUGCUUCCAGGAAAAGCCUCUAAGCAUCAGGUAACAUCAAAUCGUACCCCAAACCGACACAGGUGGUCAGGUAGAGAAUACCAAGGCGCUUGAGAGAACUCGGGUGAAGGAACUAGGCAAAAUGGUGCCGUAACUUCGGGAGAAGGCACGCUGAUAUGUAGGUGAAGUCCCUCGCGGAUGGAGCUGAAAUCAGUCGAAGAUACCAGCUGGCUGCAACUGUUUAUUAAAAACACAGCACUGUGCAAACACGAAAGUGGACGUAUACGGUGUGACGCCUGCCCGGUGCCGGAAGGUUAAUUGAUGGGGUUAGCGCAAGCGAAGCUCUUGAUCGAAGCCCCGGUAAACGGCGGCCGUAACUAUAACGGUCCUAAGGUAGCGAAAUUCCUUGUCGGGUAAGUUCCGACCUGCACGAAUGGCGUAAUGAUGGCCAGGCUGUCUCCACCCGAGACUCAGUGAAAUUGAACUCGCUGUGAAGAUGCAGUGUACCCGCGGCAAGACGGAAAGACCCCGUGAACCUUUACUAUAGCUUGACACUGAACAUUGAGCCUUGAUGUGUAGGAUAGGUGGGAGGCUUUGAAGUGUGGACGCCAGUCUGCAUGGAGCCGACCUUGAAAUACCACCCUUUAAUGUUUGAUGUUCUAACGUUGACCCGUGAUCCGGGUUGCGGACAGUGUCUGGUGGGUAGUUUGACUGGGGCGGUCUCCUCCUAAAGAGUAACGGAGGAGCACGAAGGUUGGCUAAUCCUGGUCGGACAUCAGGAGGUUAGUGCAAUGGCAUAAGCCAGCUUGACUGCGAGCGUGACGGCGCGAGCAGGUGCGAAAGCAGGUCAUAGUGAUCCGGUGGUUCUGAAUGGAAGGGCCAUCGCUCAACGGAUAAAAGGUACUCCGGGGAUAACAGGCUGAUACCGCCCAAGAGUUCAUAUCGACGGCGGUGUUUGGCACCUCGAUGUCGGCUCAUCACAUCCUGGGGCUGAAGUAGGUCCCAAGGGUAUGGCUGUUCGCCAUUUAAAGUGGUACGCGAGCUGGGUUUAGAACGUCGUGAGACAGUUCGGUCCCUAUCUGCCGUGGGCGCUGGAGAACUGAGGGGGGCUGCUCCUAGUACGAGAGGACCGGAGUGGACGCAUCACUGGUGUUCGGGUUGUCAUGCCAAUGGCACUGCCCGGUAGCUAAAUGCGGAAGAGAUAAGUGCUGAAAGCAUCUAAGCACGAAACUUGCCCCGAGAUGAGUUCUCCCUGACUCCUUGAGAGUCCUGAAGGAACGUUGAAGACGACGACGUUGAUAGGCCGGGUGUGUAAGCGCAGCGAUGCGUUGAGCUAACCGGUACUAAUGAACCGUGAGGCUUAACCUU